UAAUAGCUGUGUACUACACAUCAAGUCCCA
Molecule: non-coding RNA, 30 nt
Filed under: Rattus norvegicus (Norway rat)
Lineage: Eukaryota; Metazoa; Chordata; Mammalia; Rodentia; Muridae
Source: RNAcentral